CCUACGGGAGGCAGCAGUGAGGAAUAUUGGUCAAUGGACGAGAGUCUGAACCAGCCAAGUAGCGUGAAGGAUGACUGCACUAUGGGUUGUAAACUUCUUUUAUAUGGGAAUAAAACGUUCCACGUGUGGGAUUUUGUAUGUACCAUAUGAAUAAGGAUCGGCUAACUCCGUGCCAGCAGCCGCGGUAAUACGGAGGAUCCGAGCGUUAUCCGGAUUUAUUGGGUUUAAAGGGAGCGUAGGUGGAUUGUUAAGUCAGUUGUGAAAGUUUGCGGCUCAACCGUAAAAUUGCAGUUGAAACUGGCAGUCUUGAGUACAGUAGAGGUGGGCGGAAGUCGUGGUGUAGCGGUGAAAUGCUUAGAUAUCACGAAGAACUCCGAUUGCGAAGGCAGUUCACUGGACUGCAACUGACACUGAGGCUCGAAAGUGUGGGUAUCAAACAGGAUUAGAUACCCCAGUAGUC
RNAcentral lists this ribosomal RNA (460 nucleotides) under uncultured bacterium. RNAcentral describes it as "partial 16S ribosomal RNA". It matches the Rfam family "Bacterial small subunit ribosomal RNA", at positions 338 to 795 of the family's 1533-position model. The record is from RNAcentral.